Molecule: ribosomal RNA, 254 nt
Filed under: uncultured bacterium
Lineage: Bacteria
Description: partial 16S ribosomal RNA
Rfam family: Bacterial small subunit ribosomal RNA
Source: RNAcentral
UACGUAGGGUGCGAGCGUUGUCCGGAAUUAUUGGGCGUAAAGAGCUCGUAGGCGGUGUGUCACGUCGGCCGUGAAAACCUGCAGCUUAACUGUGGGCGUGCGGUCGAUACGGGCAUCACUGGAGUUCGGCAGGGGAGACUGGAAUUCCUGGUGUAGCGGUGAAAUGCGUAGAUAUCAGGAGGAACACCGGCGGUGUAGACGGCUAUCUGGACAGCAACUGACGCUGAGACACGAAAGCGUGGGGAGCAAACAGG